Molecule: small nuclear RNA, 115 nt
Organism: Chelydra serpentina (North American snapping turtle)
Lineage: Eukaryota; Metazoa; Chordata; Testudines; Chelydridae
Gene: U5
Rfam family: U5 spliceosomal RNA
About the family: U5 RNA is a component of both types of known spliceosome. The precise function of this molecule is unknown, though it is known that the 5' loop is required for splice site selection and p220 binding, and that both the 3' stem-loop and the Sm site are important for Sm protein binding and cap methylation.
Source: Ensembl
AUACUCCGGUUUCUCUUCAAAUCGUAUAAAUCUUUCGCCUUUUACUAAAGAUUUCCGUGGAGAGGAACAGUCACGAGUUUCAACCAAUUUUUUGAGGCUUCACUUCGGUGAGGCU